AGCUAAAAAACUUUGGAUAAGUAAUUACGUUGAAAGUAAUUUAAAAAGGUUAAACUCCUCUUUUAGCUU
This 69-nucleotide transfer RNA is filed under the name Malcus inconspicuus. Its description in RNAcentral is "tRNA-Ser". Lineage: Eukaryota; Metazoa; Arthropoda; Insecta; Hemiptera; Malcidae. The record is from RNAcentral.